AUUCUCUGGAAGGAUAUUACGCUUCCCAGUCAAUGGACUUUACCAAAUGAAAUACCUCAACAGCCUAUAGUUAACAAUCUAUUGAAUAUAGAAAACAUUAGGCAAUUUUCUGAUGGAACGGUCAAAAUAAGUUUCGAACGUACCAGAAGACCAGUCAUUAUUGAAGAUUUCACUAGUUCUUCAGCACCUUCAUUUCACACUCGAAGAGAUACUGAAGUACUUAGUAAUCCUUCAGUUAGAGAUGUUAAACUAAAA
This 255-nucleotide long non-coding RNA is filed under the name Panax ginseng (ginseng). RNAcentral's name for it is "long non-coding RNA (PGIN_LNC016438)". The record is from RNAcentral. Lineage: Eukaryota; Viridiplantae; Streptophyta; Magnoliopsida; Apiales; Araliaceae.